GAUGAACGCUAGCGGCAGGCUUAACACAUGCAAGUCGAGGGGCAGCGCGAUGUAGCAAUACAUUGGCGGCGACCGGCGCACGGGUGCGUAACACGUAUGGAACUUACCCUUUACUGGGAGAUAGCCCGGAGAAAUCCGGAUUAAAUAUCCCAUAAUAAACGAAGUGGCAUCACUUUGUUUUGAAAGCUCCGGCGGUAAAGGAUGGCCAUGCGCACGAUUAGCUAGUAGGUGAGGUAACGGCUCACCUAGGCUACGAUCGUUAGGGGGCCUGAGAGGGUUAUCCCCCACACUGGUACUGAGACACGGACCAGACUCCUACGGGAGGCAGCAGUGAGGAAUAUUGCGCAAUGGAGGCAACUCUGACGCAGCCAUGCCGCGUGCAGGAAGAAGGCGCUACGCGUUGUAAACUGCUUUUAACCGGGAAGAAACCCUCCGACGUGUCGGAGGUUGACGGUACCGGAGGAAUAAGCACCGGCUAACUUCGUGCCAGCAGCCGCGGUAAAGUCAG
RNAcentral lists this ribosomal RNA (508 nucleotides) under uncultured bacterium. Its description in RNAcentral is "bacterial SSU rRNA". It matches the Rfam family "Bacterial small subunit ribosomal RNA", at positions 28 to 529 of the family's 1533-position model. The record is from RNAcentral.